UUGCUACUGGACCUAGCGGCGGACGGGUGAGUAAUGCUUAGGAAUCUGCCUAUUAGUGGGGGACAACAUCUCGAAAGGGAUGCUAAUACCGCAUACGUCCUACGGGAGAAAGCAGGGGAUCUUCGGACCUUGCGCUAAUAGAUGAGCCUAAGUCGGAUUAGCUAGUUGGUGGGGUAAAGGCCUACCAAGGCGACGAUCUGUAGCGGGUCUGAGAGGAUGAUCCGCCACACUGGGACUGAGACACGGCCCAGACUCCUACGGG
This 262-nucleotide ribosomal RNA is filed under the name Acinetobacter baumannii OIFC083. RNAcentral's name for it is "partial 16S ribosomal RNA". It matches the Rfam family "Bacterial small subunit ribosomal RNA", at positions 80 to 345 of the family's 1533-position model. Lineage: Bacteria; Pseudomonadati; Pseudomonadota; Gammaproteobacteria; Moraxellales; Moraxellaceae. The record is from RNAcentral.